CUACGGGGCGCUGCAGUGGGGGAUAUUGCACAAUGGGCGAAAGCCUGAUGCAGCAACGCCGCGUGAAGGAAGACGGUUUUCGGAUUGUAAACUUCUAUCAACAGGGAAGAAAAUGACUGUACCUGACUAAGAAGCCCCGGCUAACUACGUGCCAGCAGCCGCGGUAAUACGUAGGGGGCAAGCGUUAUCCGGAAUUACUGGGUGUAAAGGGUACGUAGGCGGCUGAUCAAGUCAGAUGUGAAAGCCCGGAGCUCAACUCCGGGACUGCAUUUGAAACUGGUCGGCUAGAGUGCAGGAGAGGAAAGUGGAAUUCCUAGUGUAGCGGUGAAAUGCGUAGAUAUUAGGAAGAACACCAGUGGCGAAGGCGGCUUUCUGGACUGUAACUGACGCUGAGGUACGAAAGCGUGGGGAGCGAACAGGAUUAGAUACCCCGGUAGUC
RNAcentral lists this ribosomal RNA (439 nucleotides) under uncultured bacterium. RNAcentral's name for it is "partial 16S ribosomal RNA". It matches the Rfam family "Bacterial small subunit ribosomal RNA", at positions 339 to 795 of the family's 1533-position model. The record is from RNAcentral.